Long non-coding RNA from Zalophus californianus (California sea lion), 4611 nucleotides. RefSeq lists it as uncharacterized. The record is from RefSeq and is a predicted model, not a curated record. The transcript is spliced from 4 exons. Lineage: Eukaryota; Metazoa; Chordata; Mammalia; Carnivora; Otariidae.
AAGAGAUGAUGGGCCAAGAGGAGGAUGGGACAUACAAAGGAACAGAGAGCAGAGACCACGUGGCCCCAGAGAGCGGAAGUGCGCAGUUGGUCCGCCAUCUUUGAGUACCCUCCGGAUUACUGACAACAGCCCCGGGUGGGCUUCCAUUUCCUGGGCCAAACAUGCUCUGCCUAGUUGCGACUGUUUCAUCCACAAAUGGGAGAAAAAAACUCUUUGCCUUGCCUUGCCUCCUGGAGGAAUAGAAUGAGAUGCUAGUUGCCCAAGUUUGUAAACUGUAAAGUGCUCAAAAGACCUAAGGAAUUCUCAUCCUUGUUAUAAUCGUUGUCAGCAUGAAUGCUAUUGAUUAUGCUCUGACUAGAAAGAGCACACGUCUCUACAACUUAGGGCACCUUUAAAGCAAAUCUUUUGAAAAUCUGAACUCCACCCUUGCCAGUAAGGAGAAAAACUGGAAAAACAGCUUUGAGAUACCAUUUAUAAUCUUCUAAAGUAGCCAACUGGGAGGUGGGGGGAGAGCCGAAGUUGGCAAGAUUAUAUACUGGAACUGGUAGAUGCAAUCGGUGUUGGUAGUAUUAUAAAUCUGAGUAAUUCUUUUGGAAGCAAUCUGGCAAUCUUUUGCAGGAACCAUAAAGACAUUUAUGUCGUAUUGCUUGACCUGGUAAUUUCACUCUGAAAAUCCAAUAUAAGCAAAAAUCUCCGUGCAUGAAGGUGUUCACCGCAACACGGAAAAUUUAGAAACACUCCAAGUGACCGACAUUUGGGGAGCAAUUUAGUAUGUCAUGUUAUUAUGCGAUAUUAACUAGUGGAUGAUAAUUCUGAAGCCUAUGAAUAAACACGGAACUCCAAAGGCAGUCCGCAGGACAGGGGGGAGGGCUGGCAACUGGGGGUGCCCCCAAGGCCUUUCCGGUGGCGGUUUCCCUUCUUGUUGUGUCCCCCGAAGACCCAGCUCUGCACAUGUAGACACGGGAGGCCUCAGGGUGAGAAAGCAAGUUCAAUCAAAGGUUUGGGGUCACCCUUUGGUGUACCCUUCUCAGUUUAACAAACAUGCUGGAGAAAAAGUUUCUAAUUAGGGGACCCUUCCCCCAACAGCCUAAUUCCUGAGCAUCCAGCUAACCGAGGCACAUCCCUGGGUAAUGUCCCAUGCCAGGCGAAGGUAGAGGCAUGAGGGAAGCUGUGAAGUGAGGGUCUACCCAGGCUCUAAUCCCACCCACUGGCUGGAUGACCUGGGAAAGCCAGGGGACCUCUCCGAGGCUCAGGUUCCUUGUCCAGUUGAUGAACAGAGACAGGUGCACCAUUUAGAGGUGUGUGGGUUAAACUAAACUGGGCUUCAUGUCUUUGUGAGUCUGAGGCUUUCUAGCCAGAUGAGCUGACUUGUUAGGAAGACAGCUCUGCCUAGGAACCCAGGAGCUAAACCAAGGGGAUGGGGAGGGCGGGUUGUGUCUGUGCCCAGGUUCAGCCUCUGGGUUGGAUCCGAGUCCCAGGGAGCCGAGACCUGCAGGGGGAGGCCCAAAGAGCAGUUUUCACCAAGAACUGUGAGAUGUAGGAUCCCAGGCGGGGCUGGAGGGACCCGAUGAAAAAUGUCCUGCAGAGAGGGAGAGAGGUACCUUCCCAUAACCUCAUUUGACCCCAGCCACUUCCUUCCCAGUGUUCUCAUCUGCACUUUGAGGCAAUACUAGUUAAUCUCCCCAAGUUCUCUGCUUUUGACAUCAGUGAGUAUAUCCCUGGGGAAGGUGGGAGAGACUGGCUUUACUUGAUCUACUGCUACAGCGAAUAGUUGGCCCCAAGCGCCAUAGGAGCUGGAGGUCAUAGUGGGCCUAAGUAGCUGGAAAAAGGAAUUCCAAUCCCUUGGUAUUCAAGGGAUUUGUUUGAAGCAAAGAAAGGAUGGGUGUGGGAGGAGCAUUGUGGAUCUGCUCAGAGGUUGCUUCAACAGGAAACCUGAUAGGGCUGGAGGAACCGGAUUUCUGGAAGGAAGGGGUGGAGAGCUGGGGCAAAAUGCUCUCCCUAGCAAGUCAGCUGUGCCCCUUCGUAGGUCCCUGGGUCAGAGCCCUGUUUAAGUCAGUUACAUUCAAUCCAACAAAAUAUGCUCAGAGUCUGCCUGGGUCCCACAUACUAGACUGGGGGCAGCUCACAGUUUUGUGGGGGAGACAGCAAAGGAUGGUUAAUAAAACUACAAAACCAAGUGUCCCUGUGCUUGGGGAGGGAGCAGCAGGACAACAACGUGAGAGCCUUUGCAGUCUGACAAGCUCUGUUCAAAUCCAGGCCCUGACCUUACAUGGCGGGCCAAAGCCUUCCUUCUCCUCUGGAUUGAAUCUCACACCUUGGAGAGGCCAUGCUUUGUCCUGCUUAUCUAUCCCCAAAAAGAGAGCAGCUCCCCAGUGCCAAGUAUGCAGACAUCACCUUUCUGGGGGCACCGACGACCUGCCAGGCCAUCCUGCUGGAUGGCUGACUCCUCCGUACAGGGGUGCGAUCUUCUAAGUCCCACCUUUGCCUUCGGUGCAAGGGACAGUGCUUGGCACAUCCCUUUGGAAUGCAUGAGCCAAUGGAAGAAUCCUAGAAGCCCAGAAACCUUGCUAUCACAUCAGCAGCAGGCUCAACAAUGAGUCAGCCCCCGACUUGGAGGGAGCUGGCCAGCCUUGAUUCUGGCCGGUGGUGAGCCGGGUAGAUGGGGAUUCACCCCUGUACUCCUGGUUUGGAAAGGGUGGGGGAUUUCUCUCUUGGAUCUUGAGGUUCACCAUUCAGCUUAGUCUUUUUUUGGAAACCAGUGACAGAAGGCCUACCUGGGGGCUCAAAGAGCAAAGAAUGAGAUGCAGAGGAAAGAGCCCCGGGUCUCCAGCUCCAGCUCUCUGACUCCCCAGGGGCCCUAGAGUUCUUAGUAGACAAGAAACAUGAAACAUUGUAUAUUCGUUUGGCUCUGAUGCUGAGUCCAGUAUGAUCUCCAUUUGACAGGAGGGCAACUUGUGCCCAGAGAGCUAAAGAAACUGUUUCAAGGUCACAGGCCUGGGAAGUGGCAGAGCCUAUAGGCCUGCGGACUCCUGAGCCCAGCUACAGAGCCACACUGUCACUCGCUCUGCAGUCCCAGGUCUGUGGGCGAGGCCGCCAUCAGCCCGUUGACCUCUCUUGGGCUACUGUCCUUCCAUCGCUGGAAGGGGCACGGUGCUCCCUUCCAGCUCCGAGAGCUGCUGGGCCUCUGGGAAGGCUGGGAGCAUGAGCUGGAAGCCCGUAGAGCCCUUCCCUGCCGCCUGCCAACCACCCGCCCUAGCUGCAGCCGAAGCUAUAAAAAGCACAGCCGUUCAACAAUAGGUGACAUCACCCAGCGGCGGAAAGAACUGGAUUCUGCCAGAUGCCAGGGAGAGUUAUGGCCCCUACCUCUCCCGCAGGACAGGAGCCCAUUGGGAAAGGGCCUGGGCCCUGCUUCGGAGGAUGCCUCCCCGCUGUGCCCUCGGUGGGUGUCCGGGCUGGGCCCUGCUCAGAGAAGACUCAGAGAUGUCAAUACUGAGUGUUGGAUGGAUCCAAACUGCCAGGCCUGCGUGGCUCCGUGCCUCAGUUCCCUCACCUGGAAACCCAGGACCGACAGUGAGCAACUGCCCAAGGCCCAUCUCAUCACUGCUGUGACACGGAGGAGCAAAACUGAGGCCCAGAGAGGGCAAGUCACCUGCCCUUGGUCACCCAGCCGGCAAGCGGGCAGGCGGAGAUGCAAUCCCGGUCCGUGCGCGGGGAUCCGAGUGUGCGAACUGAAGAGAGCCGCUCCCCUAGCGGAGUGGGCGCCGGGCCUGACGCUUUUCCUGCAGCCACAGCGUGGACGCCUGGUUUAUUAGCCGGGCCCGUGGAGCAACAGGUGCCUGACUCACCCCCGGCGGAAGUAAGGUGCUGAGCUAGAGCCGGGCAGGGCUGCCCCGGUCAGUGACCCCCCUGCCCUCGCCCUUAGUCUGGCAGAGAUUUGAACCAGAGGUGGAGCCAGGGUGGCCACUGAGUCCGAGAGCCCUGGCUUAUCUGUCCGUCCCCUCACCAAGCUGCUCACUGCUCCUCUCCUUCCCAGCCCGCUGCCCUGGGGAGAGGGCCAGAGGCUUCCAGCCCGGAGCAUGUGGGUCGGUGUCCUGACGAACCGUGGCUGAGCAGGGGGAGUGGGGCCUGGGCGGCCGGCAGCCCUCCUGUACUUCCUAGCAUGGGGCCUUGCCCGGCCCUCAGUGUGGGGGUGGCCGUGGCCGUGAGGACCAAUGGCACUCGGUAUGAGGCAGCCCCGAGCUGGAGCGUGUCUGCUCCCUCAUGGCUGGUGACAGGCACCCAACACCUCAGCAGGCAGAGACGGAGCCAGCUGUGGUCGCUGGCAUGCCUCCUUGAGUUCCCUGCACCCCGAAGAGCAGGAUGGGCAUUUCCUCCACCUGCUGUCUCUCCUGCUGCCCCCCUGUGCUCGCCGCACCGACCCCUGCGCCCUGCAACCCCCCAGCUCCAGCCGCAUCCUGCCCAGCCCAGGACAGGGAGGACGGUCUUCUCUUGAGACCACACACAAGUGCUGAAUCACAUACUUAAACUUUGUGUUUUAAUUCUCACCUACAAAAUCAACACCUCCAAACGACAUCACACUAAAGGCGCAAGAUCUGCCAAAUAUUCCAUGGA